Molecule: long non-coding RNA, 260 nt
Filed under: Rattus norvegicus (Norway rat)
Lineage: Eukaryota; Metazoa; Chordata; Mammalia; Rodentia; Muridae
Description: long non-coding RNA NONRATT019729
Source: RNAcentral
GUACUCAUCCAGGUGUAUGAGGUGAAAGGGCCAUGACCAAGGACAACAACCUGCUUGGGAAGUUUGAGCUCACAGGCACCUCCAGCAUCACGUGGGGUUCCUCAGAUUGAGGUUACUUUUGACAUUGAUGCCAAUGGCAUCCUCAAUGCUCUGCUGUAGAUAAGAGCACAGGAAAGGAGAACAAGAUCACCAUCACCAAUGACAAGGGUCGCUUGAGUAAGGAGGAUAUCGAGUGCAUGGUCCAAGAAGCUGAGAAGUAC